GGUCCUGUAGUGAAAUUCAUGUUGAGUUGCAAGCUCAUCGAUGUGCAUUAAAAGUGUGCCAGGGCCU
This 67-nucleotide transfer RNA is filed under the name Calidris ruficollis (rufous-necked stint). Its description in RNAcentral is "tRNA-Cys". The record is from RNAcentral. Lineage: Eukaryota; Metazoa; Chordata; Aves; Charadriiformes; Scolopacidae.